Molecule: ribosomal RNA, 254 nt
Filed under: uncultured bacterium
Lineage: Bacteria
Description: partial 16S ribosomal RNA
Rfam family: Bacterial small subunit ribosomal RNA
Source: RNAcentral
UACGUAGGGUGCGAGCGUUGUCCGGAAUUAUUGGGCGUAAAGAGCUCGUAGGCGGUCUGUCGCGUCGGUCGUGAAAACUUGGGGCUUAACCCUGAGCUUGCGGUCGAUACGGGCAUGACUGGAGUUCGGUAGGGGAGACUGGAAUUCCUGGUGUAGCGGUGAAAUGCGCAGAUAUCAGGAGGAACACCGAUGGCGAAGGCAGCUCGCUGGGACGGUACUGACGCUGAGGCGCGAAAGCGUGGGGAGCAAACAGG